GGGUUGUGAGGUUAAGCGACUAAGCGUACACGGUGGAUGCCCUGGCAGUCAGAGGCGAUGAAGGACGUGCUAAUCUGCGAUAAGCGUCGGUAAGGUGAUAUGAACCGUUAUAACCGGCGAUUUCCGAAUGGGGAAACCCAGUGUGAUUCGUCACACUAUCAUUAACUGAAUCCAUAGGUUAAUGAGGCGAACCGGGGGAACUGAAACAUCUAAGUACCCCGAGGAAAAGAAAUCAACCGAGAUUCCCCCAGUAGCGGCGAGCGAACGGGGAGGAGCCCAGAGCCUGAAUCAGUGUGUGUGUUAGUGGAAGCGUCUGGAAAGGCGCGCGAUACAGGGUGACAGCCCCGUACACAAAAAUGCACAUGCUGUGAGCUCGAUGAGUAGGGCGGGACACGUGGUAUCCUGUCUGAAUAUGGGGGGACCAUCCUCCAAGGCUAAAUACUCCUGACUGACCGAUAGUGAACCAGUACCGUGAGGGAAAGGCGAAAAGAACCCCGGCGAGGGGAGUGAAAAAGAACCUGAAACCGUGUACGUACAAGCAGUGGGAGCCUCUUUAUGGGGUGACUGCGUACCUUUUGUAUAAUGGGUCAGCGACUUAUAUUCUGUAGCAAGGUUAACCGAAUAGGGGAGCCGAAGGGAAACCGAGUCUUAACUGGGCGUUAAGUUGCAGGGUAUAGACCCGAAACCCGGUGAUCUAGCCAUGGGCAGGUUGAAGGUUGGGUAACACUAACUGGAGGACCGAACCGACUAAUGUUGAAAAAUUAGCGGAUGACUUGUGGCUGGGGGUGAAAGGCCAAUCAAACCGGGAGAUAGCUGGUUCUCCCCGAAAGCUAUUUAGGUAGCGCCUCGUGAAUUCAUCUCCGGGGGUAGAGCACUGUUUCGGCAAGGGGGUCAUCCCGACUUACCAACCCGAUGCAAACUGCGAAUACCGGAGAAUGUUAUCACGGGAGACACACGGCGGGUGCUAACGUCCGUCGUGAAGAGGGAAACAACCCAGACCGCCAGCUAAGGUCCCAAAGUCAUGGUUAAGUGGGAAACGAUGUGGGAAGGCCCAGACAGCCAGGAUGUUGGCUUAGAAGCAGCCAUCAUUUAAAGAAAGCGUAAUAGCUCACUGGUCGAGUCGGCCUGCGCGGAAGAUGUAACGGGGCUAAACCAUGCACCGAAGCUGCGGCAGCGACGCUUAUGCGUUGUUGGGUAGGGGAGCGUUCUGUAAGCCUGCGAAGGUGUACUGUGAGGUAUGCUGGAGGUAUCAGAAGUGCGAAUGCUGACAUAAGUAACGAUAAAGCGGGUGAAAAGCCCGCUCGCCGGAAGACCAAGGGUUCCUGUCCAACGUUAAUCGGGGCAGGGUGAGUCGACCCCUAAGGCGAGGCCGAAAGGCGUAGUCGAUGGGAAACAGGUUAAUAUUCCUGUACUUGGUGUUACUGCGAAGGGGGGACGGAGAAGGCUAUGUUGGCCGGGCGACGGUUGUCCCGGUUUAAGCGUGUAGGCUGGUUUUCCAGGCAAAUCCGGAAAAUCAAGGCUGAGGCGUGAUGACGAGGCACUACGGUGCUGAAGCAACAAAUGCCCUGCUUCCAGGAAAAGCCUCUAAGCAUCAGGUAACAUCAAAUCGUACCCCAAACCGACACAGGUGGUCAGGUAGAGAAUACCAAGGCGCUUGAGAGAACUCGGGUGAAGGAACUAGGCAAAAUGGUGCCGUAACUUCGGGAGAAGGCACGCUGAUACGUAGGUGAAGCGACUUGCUCGUGGAGCUGAAAUCAGUCGAAGAUACCAGCUGGCUGCAACUGUUUAUUAAAAACACAGCACUGUGCAAACACGAAAGUGGACGUAUACGGUGUGACGCCUGCCCGGUGCCGGAAGGUUAAUUGAUGGGGUUAGCGGUAACGCGAAGCUCUUGAUCGAAGCCCCGGUAAACGGCGGCCGUAACUAUAACGGUCCUAAGGUAGCGAAAUUCCUUGUCGGGUAAGUUCCGACCUGCACGAAUGGCGUAAUGAUGGCCAGGCUGUCUCCACCCGAGACUCAGUGAAAUUGAACUCGCUGUGAAGAUGCAGUGUACCCGCGGCAAGACGGAAAGACCCCGUGAACCUUUACUAUAGCUUGACACUGAACAUUGAGCCUUGAUGUGUAGGAUAGGUGGGAGGCUUUGAAGUGUGGACGCCAGUCUGCAUGGAGCCGACCUUGAAAUACCACCCUUUAAUGUUUGAUGUUCUAACGUUGGCCCCUAAUCGGGGUUGCGGACAGUGUCUGGUGGGUAGUUUGACUGGGGCGGUCUCCUCCUAAAGAGUAACGGAGGAGCACGAAGGUUGGCUAAUCCUGGUCGGACAUCAGGAGGUUAGUGCAAUGGCAUAAGCCAGCUUGACUGCGAGCGUGACGGCGCGAGCAGGUGCGAAAGCAGGUCAUAGUGAUCCGGUGGUUCUGAAUGGAAGGGCCAUCGCUCAACGGAUAAAAGGUACUCCGGGGAUAACAGGCUGAUACCGCCCAAGAGUUCAUAUCGACGGCGGUGUUUGGCACCUCGAUGUCGGCUCAUCACAUCCUGGGGCUGAAGUAGGUCCCAAGGGUAUGGCUGUUCGCCAUUUAAAGUGGUACGCGAGCUGGGUUUAGAACGUCGUGAGACAGUUCGGUCCCUAUCUGCCGUGGGCGCUGGAGAACUGAGGGGGGCUGCUCCUAGUACGAGAGGACCGGAGUGGACGCAUCACUGGUGUUCGGGUUGUCAUGCCAAUGGCACUGCCCGGUAGCUAAAUGCGGAAGAGAUAAGUGCUGAAAGCAUCUAAGCACGAAACUUGCCCCGAGAUGAGUUCUCCCUGACUCCUUGAGAGUCCUGAAGGAACGUUGAAGACGACGACGUUGAUAGGCCGGGUGUGUAAGCGCAGCGAUGCGUUGAGCUAACCGGUACUAAUGAACCGUGAGGCUUAACCUUACAACGCCGAAGCUGUU
Molecule: ribosomal RNA, 2931 nt
Filed under: Escherichia coli
Lineage: Bacteria; Pseudomonadati; Pseudomonadota; Gammaproteobacteria; Enterobacterales; Enterobacteriaceae
Description: 23S ribosomal RNA
Rfam family: Bacterial large subunit ribosomal RNA
Source: RNAcentral